RNAcentral lists this transfer RNA (84 nucleotides) under Deltaproteobacteria bacterium. Its description in RNAcentral is "tRNA-Leu". It matches the Rfam family "tRNA". From Rfam's summary of the family: Transfer RNA (tRNA) molecules are approximately 80 nucleotides in length. Lineage: Bacteria; Pseudomonadati; Myxococcota; Myxococcia. The record is from RNAcentral.
GCCUGGGUGGUGGAAUUGGUAGACGCGUCGGACUCAAAAUCCGAUAGGGGCAACCCUGUGAGAGUUCGAGUCUCUCCCUAGGCA